RNAcentral lists this ribosomal RNA (439 nucleotides) under uncultured bacterium. Its description in RNAcentral is "partial 16S ribosomal RNA". It matches the Rfam family "Bacterial small subunit ribosomal RNA", at positions 339 to 795 of the family's 1533-position model. The record is from RNAcentral.
CUACGGGCGGCAGCAGUGGGGAAUAUUGCACAAUGGAGGAAACUCUGAUGCAGCAACGCCGCGUGGAGGAUGACACUUUUCGGAGCGUAAACUCCUUUUAUAUGUGAAGAAGAUGACGGUACUAUAUGAAUAAGCGCCGGCUAACUCCGUGCCAGCAGCCGCGGUAAUACGGAGGGCGCAAGCGUUACUCGGAAUCACUGGGCGUAAAGAGCGUGUAGGCGGAUUAAAAAGUCAGAAGUGAAAUCCUAUAGCUUAACUAUAGAACUGCUUCUGAAACUCUUAAGCUAGAAUAUGGGAGAGGUAGAUGGAAUUUCUGGUGUAGGGGUAAAAUCCGUAGAGAUCAGAAGGAAUACCGAUUGCGAAGGCGAUCUACUAGAACAUUAUUGACGCUGAGACGCGAAAGCGUGGGGAGCAAACAGGAUUAGAUACCCCCGUAGUC